RNAcentral lists this long non-coding RNA (373 nucleotides) under Gouania willdenowi (blunt-snouted clingfish). RNAcentral describes it as "lncRNA (ENSGWIG00000003526.1)". Lineage: Eukaryota; Metazoa; Chordata; Actinopteri; Blenniiformes; Gobiesocidae. The record is from RNAcentral.
UAUUUUCCAUAGCAAUGUGCUUCCAUCUAAUAAGAUUCAUCCUACAGUGUUUUCAAGUCAACACGACAUAUCGUCUUUCCGCUACAGCUGCUCGUGUAGGACGACCACAGAAGCGGCGCCCUCUGAGAACGCAAGGCAUUCUGCUCGUGUUGGACGACCACAGAAGCGGCGCCCUCUGAGAACGCAAGGCAUUGUGGCAAUUUGCUCCCCUCUGUGUAGGUUCAUCCUACAGUGUUUUGAAGUCAACACGACAUAUCGUCUGUCCGCUACAGCUGCUCGUGUAGGACGACCACAGAAGCGACGCCCUCUGAGAACGCAAGGCAUUAUGGGUAAAUUGGUUCUCGAGUUUUGUUUAUGGCUGUACGGUCAUCAU